Vanessa atalanta (red admiral) is the source of this 594-nucleotide long non-coding RNA. RefSeq lists it as uncharacterized. NCBI's taxonomy places the organism in Eukaryota, Metazoa, Arthropoda, Insecta, Lepidoptera, Nymphalidae. The record is from RefSeq and is a predicted model, not a curated record. The transcript is spliced from 3 exons.
CUAUUCCGAUCUCCAUGACGCCCCGCAGAUCCACACGGGGCUGAAGCCGUUCAAGUGCGACACGUGCGGCAAGUGCUUCACGACGGCGGGCGAGCAGCGCGCGCACGUGGAGCACGUGCACCUCAAGAAGCCCUGGCCGCGCCGCGCGCGCGCGCGCCCCGACCUCGCCUGGCGCGCGCACGCCCUCGAGUGACUCACGAAAACGUCAUGAUCAUGGAAACGAUGCGAGACAAUAUCUGUUCUAAUUAAAAGUGAUUAGGUAAUCGUGAAUGAUUGGAAUAGUUGGCACUGACUUAUCCGUUGCGAGGAAGCAUCGAACCCGUCUUGCCCUGGAAAUCUGCGGCUCUCGUGAACGCCCUCUUGCGCACGCCUCGAGAAUGACCACUGUGGUCUAAAUCGGUCAGGAGAACGUCGACCAUCAGCACGAACUAUUCCGAUCUGUAUCUUCUUUUACCGAUAUUUAAUAUUGUAAAUAACAAGUCGCACGGAUCUCGUAGUUGUGUGUGUUGUGGAUGUAUUUUAGAAUAUUUAAGUAACAUGUCCGUUGAGAUUUUUAUUUUAUUUAAUCUUUACAAAUACAGAUGAUGGAUGAAA